GACGAACGCUGGCGGCGUGCUUAACACAUGCAAGUCGAGCGGUAAGGCCCUUUCGGGGUACGACGAGCGGCGAACGGGUGAGUAACACGUGGGUGACCUGCCCUCCAGCUCUGGGAUAAGCCUGGGAAACCGGGUCUAAUACCGGAUAUGACUCCAUGACGCAUGUUGUGGGGUGGAAAGCCUUGUGCGGCUGAGGAUGGGCCCGCGGCCUAUCAGCUUGUUGGUGGGGUGAUGGCCUACCAAGGCGACGACGGGUAGCCGGCCUGAGAGGGCGACCGGCCACACUGGGACUGAGACACGGCCCAGACUCCUACGGGAGGCAGCAGUGGGGAAUCUUGCGCAAUGGGCGAAAGCCUGACGCAGCGACGCCGCGUGAGGGAUGACGGCCUGG
RNAcentral lists this ribosomal RNA (391 nucleotides) under uncultured bacterium. RNAcentral describes it as "bacterial SSU rRNA". It matches the Rfam family "Bacterial small subunit ribosomal RNA", at positions 28 to 419 of the family's 1533-position model. The record is from RNAcentral.